ACUUCCUUUAUUCAAUCAACAAGUAUUGAGCACCUACAAUAUGGCUGACUUUGUUUGGGGGAAGAGAGUGAGUGGUAGAACAGUAUCCAGAAUAGGCAAAAUUCCUUGACGGAGAAGCUAAACUUCUAAUACUGACCAAUGGUGUGUAUACACUUCCCUACUGCUAACACAAGUGGGUUUUGCUUGCUAACCAGAAAUGUAGACUGAUUCAGGUAGUCAGCAAUUAUUUCUCUAAUCACAAAACCACAAAGCCAGCUUCAACGAAAGCAAACACCUUUGGUAUAAUAACCUGCCAAAUUAAUUUCUGCAGAGAAUGAAGAUUAAUUCUUUCCCCCAGAAAACAUGUAUUUUGCUUUUAAGAGUCUUUGAACUGGUUUGUAGCUAAUGUGGAAAUCAGCCUGAAUGUAUCUUGCUGUGAAUCACCAAUCUAUGGCAAGGGCAGAAACACUAAUUCAGAUUAGUGACUCGCUGUUUUUGUUUUUUCUUCCUCUAUAUAGAAUUUGGUAUUCUUGUUUAGUCUGUGCAUUUAAGCAUGUGCUUUUUGGUGUAGGAAAUAAGUAUCAUAUCUGAAGAGUUAGUAAAAAUGUUAGGGCAGGAUGUGAUCCACCUUUUUAGCCAAACUUCACAAUAGAGUCCAUUGAUGUCAUGAGACUAAAGCAAAGGGAUGCUGUUAGUAGCUGU
Long non-coding RNA from Perognathus longimembris pacificus (Pacific pocket mouse), 681 nucleotides. RefSeq lists it as uncharacterized. The record is from RefSeq and is a predicted model, not a curated record. The transcript is spliced from 3 exons. Lineage: Eukaryota; Metazoa; Chordata; Mammalia; Rodentia; Heteromyidae.